UACGGAGGGUGCAAGCGUUAUCCGGAUUCACUGGGUUUAAAGGGUGCGUAGGUGGCUUUGUAAGUCAGUGGUGAAAUGCCGCAGCUCAACUGCGGAACUGCCAUUGAUACUGCUUAGCUUGAAUCACGUCGAGGUGGAUGGAAUAAUACAUGUAGCGGUGAAAUGCUUAGAUAUGUAUUAGAACACCGAUUGCGAAGGCAGUUCACUAGGCGUGUAUUGACACUGAGGCACGAAAGCGUGGGGAUCAAACAGG
Molecule: ribosomal RNA, 253 nt
Filed under: uncultured bacterium
Lineage: Bacteria
Description: partial 16S ribosomal RNA
Rfam family: Bacterial small subunit ribosomal RNA
Source: RNAcentral